GUGGGGAAUUUUGGACAAUGGGCGAAAGCCUGAUCCAGCCAUGCCGCGUGUGUGAAGAAGGUCUUCGGAUUGUAAAGCACUUUAAGUUGGGAGGAAGGGCAGUAAGUUAAUACCUUGCUGUUUUGACGUUACCGACAGAAUACGCACCGGCUAACUUCGUGCCAGCAGCCGCGGUAAUACGAAGGGUGCAAGCGUUAAUCGGAAUUACUGGGCGUAAAGCGCGCGUAGGUGGUUUUGUAAGUUGGAGGUGAAAUCCCCGGGCUCAACCUGGGAACUGACUCCAAAACUGCAUGACUAGAAUACGGUAGAGGGUAGUGGAAUUUCCUGUGUAGCGGUGAAAUGCGUAGAUAUAGGAAGGAACACCAGUGGCGAAGGCGACUACCUGGACUGAUACUGACACUGAGGUGCGAAAGCGUGGGGAGCAAACAGGAUUAGAUACCCGGGUAGUCC
Molecule: ribosomal RNA, 450 nt
Filed under: uncultured bacterium
Lineage: Bacteria
Description: partial 16S ribosomal RNA
Rfam family: Bacterial small subunit ribosomal RNA
Source: RNAcentral